This is a long non-coding RNA of Branchiostoma floridae (Florida lancelet), 974 nucleotides long. RefSeq lists it as uncharacterized. The transcript is spliced from 2 exons. NCBI's taxonomy places the organism in Eukaryota, Metazoa, Chordata, Leptocardii, Amphioxiformes, Branchiostomatidae. The record is from RefSeq and is a predicted model, not a curated record.
AUUGCUUAGGUUGCCUUUAAGUUCCGAUGUAGAUAGCUUCUUUGAUCCCUCUUUAUAUUAGUUGUCUGCUUAUUCUACAGGCAACUUGGGAUACUUGGCAUCCACGUGGCGGAAACUGUGAUCGCUUUCUUCGUCACUCUGUGGAAGGACAUCUCCGGACCAGCGCGGCUGAAGUGGCUCCUGCAGACCUUCGUGUUCGGGAUCUUCUCUCUGGUUCCGCUCUUCAUGUUCAAACCUGCCGUGGAGAAAAAAGUCAAGUAGAUAAUAAGGAAUCAAACGUUUGCUUUUCACGUUUUUACAAAGUGUUGCUCAACUAAGCUACAAUUAGAGAACAGAUUUUGUUUUUAACAUGUAAUCUUAUCUCUAAAUGGUAACGCUCAUCACUGAUGUUCAAACCUGCGGUGGAGAAAAAAGUCAAAUAGUCACUAGCAGAUUCAAAGUGUUGCUCAAGAUAGAUAAGUAACAUUAUUGGAAGAUUACAAAACAGAUUUAGUUUCCAAUGUGUAAUCUGAUCUCUAGUACUACGUAUACAUGGUUACGUUUAUCAAGUAACAAUUUCAAACCUGCCGUGGAGAAAAAAGUCAAAUAGACUGGAGAAUCAUACAUUUGCCUUUCGCGUUUUUAUAAAGUGUUGCUUAACUUGGACAUGUACAAUUUUAGAGAACAGAUUUUGUUUUUUUAACUUGUGGUUUUGUCUUUGCAUGGUUUUAUCUUUGCAUGGUAAAUAUGUUCAAAAAUGGCUGACGGAAAAGUCAAGGAUCCGGAGUAACUGGUGAAUCCGACGUUUUCAAGCAAAGUUUCAAACCAUACUGAUUACUGUAAAUCGUACAAAGCAGCUGCAACAUGAGCUCGUAUAUGCCGUGGAUUGCAAAAAAAUAUAUAGGAAAAUGUACCUUAAUAGCAUAAAAUGUCACCAUCAAUUCAGCGCCAAAGAAGAUGUGCAAGAAUAAAAUGCAGAAUCUGUUGUGAUAUAA